UAGAGUUUGAUCCUGGCUCAGAAUCAACGCUGGCGGCGUGCCUAACACAUGCAAGUCGAACGCCAAAGCCCCGCAAGGGGUAAGUAGAGUGGCAAACGGGUGAGUAACACGUGGGUGACCUGCCUUCGAGCGGGGGAUAACGUCCCGAAAGGGUCGCUAAUACCGCAUUACAUCCUGCCUUUGAACAGGCGGUGAUCAAAGCUGGGGAUCGCAAGACCUAGCACUCGAAGAGGGGCCCGCGCCUGAUUAGCUAGUUGGUGGGGUAACGGCUCACCAAGGCAACGAUCAGUAUCCGGCCUGAGAGGGCGGACGGACACACUGGGACUGAGACACGGCCCAGACUCCUACGGGAGGCAGCAGUGGGGAAUUGUUCGCAAUGGGCGCAAGCCUGACGACUCAACGCCGCGCGGAGGAUGAAGAUCUUCCGGUCGUAAACUCCUUUCAAUCGAUACGAACGGCCUCCGGGUGAACAAUCCGGAGGAGUGACGGAACCGAGAGAAGAAGCCCCGGCUAACUCCAUGCCAGCUCCCGCGGUAAUACUGGGGGGGCAAGCGUUGUUCGGAAUUACUGGGCGUAAAGGGCUCGUAGGCGGCCAACUAACUCGGACAUGAAAUCCCUCGGCUUAACCGGGGAACUGCGUCCGAUACUGGAUGGCUAGAGUGUGGGAUAGGGAUGCGGAAGUCCAGGUGUCCGCUGAAAUGCGUAUAUAUCUGUAGGAACACCAGUGGCGAAGGCGGUAUCCUGGACCACUACUGACGCUGAGGAUCGUCAGCCAGAGGAGCAAACGGGGAUAGAUACCUCGGCAGUCCUGGUCCUCACGAUGAAUGCUUGUUGUGGCGGGCAUCGAUCCCUGCCCAUGCCCUAUCCUAACGCACUAAGCAUUCCGUCCUGGGGGGAGUAC
RNAcentral lists this ribosomal RNA (901 nucleotides) under uncultured soil bacterium. RNAcentral's name for it is "SSU rRNA". It matches the Rfam family "Bacterial small subunit ribosomal RNA", at positions 9 to 873 of the family's 1533-position model. The record is from RNAcentral.